GACGAACGCUGGCGGCGCGCUUAACACAUGCAAGUCGAACGGAAAGGCCUGCUUUCCCUUGUGGAUUGCGGGUACUCGAGUGGCGAACGGGUGAGUAACACGUGAGUGAUCUGCCCCCAACUUGGGUAUAAGCCUGGGAAACUGGGUCUAAUUCCCGAUAGGACUGCAGGGUGGUGCCUGUGGUGGAAAACGAUUUUCUAGUGGUUGGGGAUGAGCUCGCGGCCUUUCAGCUUGUUGGUGGGGUAAUGGCCUACCAAGGCGGCGACGGGUAGCCGGCCUGAGAGGGUGGACGGCCACAUUGGGACUGAGAUACGGCCCAGACUCCUACGGGAGGCAGCAGUGGGGAAUAUUGCACAAUGGGCGGAAGCCUGAUGCAGCGACGCCGCGUGGGGGAUGACGGCCUUCGGGUUGUAAACUCCUUUCGACCGCGAGGAAGCCACCUGGUUGGAAGGGUGGUGACGGUAGUGGUAGAAGAAGCACCGGCUAACUACGUG
Molecule: ribosomal RNA, 494 nt
Filed under: uncultured bacterium
Lineage: Bacteria
Description: partial 16S ribosomal RNA
Rfam family: Bacterial small subunit ribosomal RNA
Source: RNAcentral